Choloepus didactylus (southern two-toed sloth) is the source of this 1207-nucleotide long non-coding RNA. RefSeq lists it as uncharacterized. NCBI's taxonomy places the organism in Eukaryota, Metazoa, Chordata, Mammalia, Pilosa, Megalonychidae. The transcript has 4 exons. The record is from RefSeq and is a predicted model, not a curated record.
ACUCCCCUGGGAUCCACUGGUUUCAGCCAAUAGACAGUGUCUUGCCAGCCAAGCGAUCUUAGAAGGCCAAGGAAGUAACAAGUCAGCAUUCUUUCCCUUUCCGCUCUGUUGUGGUUAGGUGCUGGACAGCAGUAUUUGAGGCGGUUCUUUCUAGGACAGACGUCUUUGGGGCCACCCAGGGCCCCGCUGCCUUUUGGCCCAUCCCCCAGCUCUGUGCUCAACAACCACAGGCCAUCAGCCUGGACCGAGAUGGCAGGCUGGGGGUGUGCAUUUAUCAUUCCAGGUUCUAGCGAGUUUCUUAUUCGCCACUCAACUAUCCCUCUCUUCAAGCAAGAGGGCAUCUAAAGGAAGUCAGAGGAGUCUGCCUGAAGGUAAAGAGAAAAAUGGAACUCCAAGAACACAACGAGCUGGGGGAAAAGCACUGGAUCUGACUUCUUUAUCAUCACACCUGUUGCUAACAUUUGUACCGAAAGGAGACAAACUCUCUGAGGGCAGAGACUGAGGAGUUUGAUGGUUUCAGCUUCACCAGAGUUCCUGCUAUUUCUGGAACAGUCAAGACUUUCCAGGCCUUUAGGCAUUUGCACAUGCUGUGCUCUCGCGUUGGAGUGCCAGAGUGCCACCCGUUGCCUUUCUCCAGCUGGAUGGGUUCUCUACCUCUACUCCCUUAUCUCCACCCAGCAACUGCUGCUGCCUCUGCUGAUGGUGGGAGCAGGAGAGCGCUACUGCACCCUGUGUGCUGAUUUCCAGAGAGGGGCCCUGGUUGCACUUGAGGAUCUGCAUUUGCCUGGCAAGUAUCCCCAUGCCCAAAGGAGCAUGAAGUUAAACAGCAAAUAAAAAAUCGCCAUGGCAGGUUGAAAGAGGGAGACUAUGAAAGAAGGGAAAAAGCUGUUAUUCUGCUUUUGAAACAAAUGAUCCCACAAUUUCAUUUUUCACUGGGCCCUGCAAUUUACACAGCUGGCCCUGGUGGGAAAUAAGGCAUCUACCCAGUAUGGAUAUACUGAAGUAGGGUAUCAGAAGCUGGGGUUCUGGGAGGCUUUUAACUUGCCUGAGGUCACCUGGUGGGUAAUAAUGGAAUAAAGCAUUCCUAUAACUCUGAAAGUUGCACUCUUGCCCUUAUGUCUUGUAGCUUCUCCAAAUGACUAGUAGAGACAAAAACGUCCAGAGGCAGGCGAGUUCUCUAAGCUAAGUGGUACCCAGGCUUCAUACA